UUUAAUUCGAAGCUACGCGAAGAACCUUACCAGGUCUUGACAUCCCUCUGACCGCCUUAGAGAUAAGGCUUUCCCUUCGGGGACAGAGGUGACAGGUGGUGCAUGGUUGUCGUCAGCUCGUGUCGUGAGAUGUUGGGUUAAGUCCCGUAACGAGCGCAACCCUUGAUAUUAGUUGCCAGCAUUUAGUUGGGCACUCUAAUGUGACUGCCGGUGACAAACCGGAGGAAGGUGGGGAUGACGUCAAAUCAUCAUGCCCCUUAUGACCUGGGCUACACACGUGCUACAAUGGAUGGUACAACGGGCAGCGAAACCGCGAGGUGGAGCAAAUCCCAUAAAACCAUUCUCAGUUCGGAUUGUAGGCUGCAACUCGCCUACAUGAAGCAGGAAUCGCUAGUAAUCGCGGAUCAGCAUGCCG
Molecule: ribosomal RNA, 415 nt
Filed under: uncultured bacterium
Lineage: Bacteria
Description: bacterial SSU rRNA
Rfam family: Bacterial small subunit ribosomal RNA
Source: RNAcentral